GACUGUAGCUCAGUGGUAGAGCAUCUGUUUUGCACCCAGAAGGUCCCUGGUUCAAUCUCCAGGCAUAGGGCU
This is a non-coding RNA of Podarcis lilfordi (Lilford's wall lizard), 72 nucleotides long. The record is from the annotation of a GenBank genome assembly. NCBI's taxonomy places the organism in Eukaryota, Metazoa, Chordata, Lepidosauria, Squamata, Lacertidae.